AACGAACGCUGGCGGUAUGCUUAACACAUGCAAGUCGUACGUGAAGGGGACUUCGGUCCCUGGAAAGUGGCGCACGGGUGAGUAACACGUGGAUAAUCUGCCCGGUGGUUUGGGAUAACAUCUCGAAAGGGGUGCUAAUACCAGAUAAGCCCACGAUAUCUUCGGAUGUUGCGGGAAAAGGGGCUUUUAGCUCCUGUCACCGGAUGAGUCCGCGGCCCAUUAGCUAGUUGGUGGGGUAAUGGCCCACCAAGGCGACGAUGGGUAGCUGGUCUGAGAGGAUGAUCAGCCACACUGGAACUGAGACACGGUCCAGACACCUACGGGUGGCUG
Molecule: ribosomal RNA, 330 nt
Filed under: uncultured Pseudomonadota bacterium
Lineage: Bacteria; Pseudomonadati; Pseudomonadota
Description: bacterial SSU rRNA
Rfam family: Bacterial small subunit ribosomal RNA
Source: RNAcentral